Molecule: non-coding RNA, 69 nt
Organism: Trichonephila clavipes
Lineage: Eukaryota; Metazoa; Arthropoda; Arachnida; Araneae; Nephilidae
Source: the annotation of a GenBank genome assembly
GUCCCUGUAGUGCAUUGGGUAGUUGGACUUCUAAUCCAAAUGUCGUGGGUUCGAAUCCCAUCUGGGACG